Molecule: ribosomal RNA, 485 nt
Filed under: uncultured bacterium
Lineage: Bacteria
Description: partial 16S ribosomal RNA
Rfam family: Bacterial small subunit ribosomal RNA
Source: RNAcentral
AUUGAACGCUGGCGGCAUGCCUUACACAUGCAAGUCGAACGGCAGCACGGGUGCUUGCACCUGGUGGCGAGUGGCGAACGGGUGAGUAAUACAUCGGAACAUGUCCUGUAGUGGGGGAUAGCCCGGCGAAAGCCGGAUUAAUACCGCAUACGAUCCACGGAUGAAAGCGGGGGACCUUCGGGCCUCGCGCUUUAGGGUUGGCCGAUGGCUGAUUAGCUAGUUGGUGGGGUAAAGGCCUACCAAGGCGACGAUCAGUAGCUGGUCUGAGAGGACGACCAGCCACACUGGGACUGAGACACGGCCCAGACUCCUACGGGAGGCAGCAGUGGGGAAUUUUGGACAAUGGGCGAAAGCCUGAUCCAGCAAUGCCGCGUGUGUGAAGAAGGCCUUCGGGUUGUAAAGCACUUUUGUCCGGAAAGAAAUCCUUGACUCUAAUACAGUCGGGGGAUGACGGUACCGGAAGAAUAAGCACCGGCUAACUACGU